UACAGAGGUCCCGAGCGUUAGGCGGAAUCACUGGGCUUAAAGCGUGUGUAGGCGGCGGCCUAAGUACCUUGUGAAAUCCCACGGCUCACCCGUGGAACUGCUCGGUAUACUGGGUCGCUUGAGCCACUUAGGGGCUACCGGAACAAAUGGUGGAGCGGUGAAAUGCGUAGAUAUCAUUUGGAACGCCAAUGGUGAAAACAGGUAGCUGGGAGUGUGCUGACGCUGAGACGCGAAAGCCAGGGGAGCAAACGGG
RNAcentral lists this ribosomal RNA (253 nucleotides) under uncultured bacterium. RNAcentral describes it as "partial 16S ribosomal RNA". It matches the Rfam family "Bacterial small subunit ribosomal RNA", at positions 524 to 776 of the family's 1533-position model. The record is from RNAcentral.